RNAcentral lists this ribosomal RNA (1758 nucleotides) under marine sediment metagenome. Its description in RNAcentral is "bacterial LSU rRNA". It matches the Rfam family "Bacterial large subunit ribosomal RNA", at positions 1214 to 2925 of the family's 2925-position model. The record is from RNAcentral.
AACAGCGUUCUCAGUGCAUAAAAGGAAAUAUACGUGUGGUAGAGGAGCGUUCUGUAAGCCUGUGAAGGUGUGACCGUGAGGCAUGCUGGAGGUAUCAGAAGUGCGAAUGCUGACAUGAGUAACGAUAAUGUGGGUGAAAAACCUACACGCCGAAAACCCAAGGGUUCCUGCGCAACGCUAAUCGGCGCAGGGUGAGUCGGCCCCUAAGGCGAGACCGAAAGGUGUAGUCGAUGGGAAACUGGUUAAUAUUCCAGUACUUGUUAUUACUGCGAUGGAGUGACGGAGAAGGCUAGAUCUACCGAGCGUUGGUUGUCUCGGGGAAAGUAUGUAGGCAGAGGGCUUAGGAAAAUCCGGGUUCUUAAUGUCGAGAUACGAGACCAGUGGCCUUUGUGCCGCGAAGUGGUCGAUGCCAUGCUUCCAGGAAAAGCUUCUAAGCUUCAGGUAGUAACGAACCGUACCGUAAACCGACACAGGUGGGUGAGGAGAGAAUCCUAAGGCGCUUGAGAGAACUCGGGUGAAGGAACUAGGCAAAUUGGUACCGUAACUUCGGGAGAAGGUACGCCCCUGUCGGUGAUGAGACUUGCUCUCUAAGCUGGUGGGGGUAGCAUUAACCAGGUGGCUGCGACUGUUUACUAAAAACACAGCACUCUGCAAACUCGUAAGAGGAAGUAUAGGGUGUGACGCCUGCCCGGUGCCGGAAGGUUAAUUGAUGAGGUUAGUCUUCGGACGAAGCUUUUGAUCGAAGCCCCGGUAAACGGCGGCCGUAACUAUAACGGUCCUAAGGUAGCGAAAUUCCUUGUCGGGUAAGUUCCGACCUGCACGAAUGGCGUAACGACGGCCACACUGUCUCCACCCGGGACUCAGUGAAAUUGAAAUCGCUGUGAAGAUGCAGUGUACGCGCGGCUAGACGGAAAGACCCCGUGCACCUUUACUACAGCUUUGCACUGGACUUUGAACAUGUUUGUGUAGGAUAGCUGGGAGGCUUUGAAGCGUGAUCGCUAGAUUGCGUGGAGCCAAUCUUGAAAUACCAGCCUGAUAUGUUUGAGGUUCUAACCUAGGUCCCUUAUCGGGAUCGGGGACAGUGUAUGGUGGGUAGUUUGACUGGGGCGGUCUCCUCCUAAAGAGUAACGGAGGAGUACAAAGGUACUCUCAGUGCGGUCGGACAUCGCACGUUGCGUAUAAAGGCAUAAGAGUGCUUGACUGCGAGACAUACACGUCGAGCAGGGACGAAAGUCGGUCUUAGUGAUCCGGUGGUUCUGUAUGGAAGGGCCAUCGCUAAUCGGAUAAAAGGUACGCCGGGGAUAACAGGCUGAUUCCUCCCAAGAGUCCACAUCGACGGAGGAGUUUGGCACCUCGAUGUCGGCUCAUCACAUCCUGGGGCUGUAGCAGGUCCCAAGGGUAUGGCUGUUCGCCAUUUAAAGUGGUACGCGAGCUGGGUUUAGAACGUCGUGAGACAGUUCGGUCCCUAUCUGCCGUGCGCGUUGGAAACUUGAAGGAAGCUGCUCCUAGUACGAGAGGACCGGAGUGGACGAACCUCUGGUGUUCCGGUUGUCACGCCAGUGGCAUUGCCGGGUAGCUAAGUUCGGACGGGAUAACCGCUGAAAGCAUCUAAGCGGGAAGCCCCUCCUAAGAUAAGGUUUCCCUUGAUCCUUGAGAUCACUUAAGGGCCGUUGAAGACUACAACGUUGAUAGGCUGGGUGUGGAAGUUCAGUAAUGAAUGAAGCUAACCAGUACUAAUUGCCCGUGAGGCUUGACCAU